This is a ribosomal RNA of Clostridium colicanis DSM 13634, 61 nucleotides long. It matches the Rfam family "Bacterial small subunit ribosomal RNA", at positions 1473 to 1533 of the family's 1533-position model. NCBI's taxonomy places the organism in Bacteria, Bacillati, Bacillota, Clostridia, Eubacteriales, Clostridiaceae. The record is from Rfam.
GAUUGGGGUGAAGUCGUAACAAGGUAGCCGUAGGAGAACCUGCGGCUGGAUCACCUCCUUU